Molecule: non-coding RNA, 24 nt
Filed under: Arabidopsis thaliana (thale cress)
Lineage: Eukaryota; Viridiplantae; Streptophyta; Magnoliopsida; Brassicales; Brassicaceae
Source: RNAcentral
AUGCACUAUUUGUUUUACUACGCA